GGCUGGUCCGAAGGUAGUGAGUUAUCUUGCUUGACUGUUCACAGUCAGUUACAGAUUGAACUCCUUGUUCUACUACUUUCCCCCCUCCUCACUACUGCACUUGACUAGUCUAAA
Molecule: Y RNA, 114 nt
Filed under: Propithecus coquereli (Coquerel's sifaka)
Lineage: Eukaryota; Metazoa; Chordata; Mammalia; Primates; Indriidae
Description: Y RNA (ENSPCOG00000005408.1)
Rfam family: Y RNA
About the family: Y RNAs are components of the Ro ribonucleoprotein particle (Ro RNP), in association with Ro60 and La proteins.
Source: Rfam by way of RNAcentral